CCAAAGGCCCUUUUCAGGGCCACCCAUCCGUUCACUCCAAAAGAGU
Non-coding RNA from Equus caballus (horse), 46 nucleotides. Lineage: Eukaryota; Metazoa; Chordata; Mammalia; Perissodactyla; Equidae. The record is from Rfam.